GGAAUAUUGGUCAAUGGGCGGAAGCCUGAACCAGCCAUGCCGCGUGCGGGAGGACGGCCCUACGGGUUGUAAACCGCUUUUGAGUGUGAGCAAUAAGGUCCACGCGUGGACCGAUGAGAGUAGCAUUCGAAUAAGCAUCGGCUAACUCCGUGCCAGCAGCCGCGGUAAUACGGAGGAUGCGAGCGUUAUCCGGAUUCAUUGGGUUUAAAGGGUGCGUAGGCGGACGUUUAAGUCCGAGGUGAAAGACCGGGGCCCAACCCCGGGGUUGCCUCGGAUACUGGAUGUCUGGAGUGGACGUGCCGCCGGGGGAAUGAGUGGUGUAGCGGUGAAAUGCAUAGAUAUCACUCAGAACACCGAUUGCGAAGGCACCUGGCGAAUGUCUUACUGACGCUGAGGCACGAAAGCGUGGGGAUCGAACA
Molecule: ribosomal RNA, 419 nt
Filed under: uncultured bacterium
Lineage: Bacteria
Description: bacterial SSU rRNA
Rfam family: Bacterial small subunit ribosomal RNA
Source: RNAcentral